This 497-nucleotide ribosomal RNA is filed under the name uncultured bacterium. RNAcentral's name for it is "partial 16S ribosomal RNA". It matches the Rfam family "Bacterial small subunit ribosomal RNA", at positions 28 to 507 of the family's 1533-position model. The record is from RNAcentral.
GAUGAACGCUGGCGGCGUGCCUAAUACAUGCAAGUCGAGCGAACAGACGAGGAGCUUGCUCCUCUGACGUUAGCGGCGGACGGGUGAGUAACACGUGGAUAACCUACCUAUAAGACUGGGAUAACUUCGGGAAACCGGAGCUAAUACCGGAUAAUAUAUUGAACCGCAUGGUUCAAUGGUGAAAGACGGUUUUGCUGUCACUUAUAGAUGGAUCCGCGCCGCAUUAGCUAGUUGGUAAGGUAACGGCUUACCAAGGCAACGAUGCGUAGCCGACCUGAGAGGGUGAUCGGCCACACUGGAACUGAGACACGGUCCUGACUCCUACGGGAGGCAGCAGUAGGGAAUCUUCCGCAAUGGGCGAAAGCCUGACGGAGCAACGCCGCGUGAGUGAUGAAGGUCUUCGGAUCGUAAAACUCUGUUAUUAGGGAAGAACAAAUGUGUAAGUAACUAUGCACGUCUUGACGGUACCUAAUCAGAAAGCCACGGCUAACUACGUG